CCUACGGGUGGCAGCAGUGAGGAAUAUUGGUCAAUGGGCGAGAGCCUGAACCAGCCAAGUCGCGUGAAGGAAGACGGCCCUACGGGUUGUAAACUUCUUUUGCCAGGGAGCAAUUGUGUCCACGCGUGGGCAUCGCGAGAGUACCUGAAGAAAAAGCAUCGGCUAACUCCGUGCCAGCAGCCGCGGUAAUACGGAGGAUGCGGGCGUUAUCCGGAUUUAUUUGGUUUAAAGGGGGCGUAGGCGGAAUAUCAAGUCGGCGGGAAAAAUUCGGGGCUCAACCCCGUCGUGGCGUGGAGACUGAUGGUCUUGAGUGGGCGAGAGGUAUGCGGAAUGCGUGGUGUAGCGGUGAAAUGCAUAGAUAUCACGCAGAACUCCGAUUGCGAAGGCAGCAUACCGGCGCCCAACUGACGCUGAAGCACGAAAGCGUGGGUAUCGAACAGGAUUAGAUACCCUUGUAGUC
This 460-nucleotide ribosomal RNA is filed under the name uncultured bacterium. Its description in RNAcentral is "partial 16S ribosomal RNA". It matches the Rfam family "Bacterial small subunit ribosomal RNA", at positions 338 to 795 of the family's 1533-position model. The record is from RNAcentral.